AUUGAACGCUGGCGGCAGGCCUAACACAUGCAAGUCGAACGAGUGGCGGACGGGUGAGUAAUGUCUGGGAAACUGCCUGAUGGAGGGGGCUAACUACUGGAAACGGUAGCUAAUACCGCAUACCAUCAGAUGUGCCCAGAUGGGAUUAGCUAAUUGGUGGGGUAACGGCUCACCUAGGCGACGAUCCCUAGCUGGUCUGAGAGGAUGACCAGCCAAACGGGAACUGAGACAAGGUCCAGAAUCCUACGGGAGGCAGCAGUGGGGAAUAUUGCACAAUGGGCGCAAGCCUGAUGCAGCCAUGCCGCGUGUAUGAAGAAGGCCUUCGGGUUGUAAAGUACUUUCAGCGAGGAGGCGUUACCCGCAGAAGAAGCACCGGCUAACUCCGUGCCAGCAGCCGCGGUAAUUC
RNAcentral lists this ribosomal RNA (406 nucleotides) under uncultured bacterium. Its description in RNAcentral is "partial 16S ribosomal RNA". It matches the Rfam family "Bacterial small subunit ribosomal RNA", at positions 30 to 526 of the family's 1533-position model. The record is from RNAcentral.